GCGGGACGGGGCCGCCCCGCGAGGGACGGCGCCGCCCCGGGGCUCGUGAUAUCUUAUCUCGCCGCCCCGUCGCGAGGCGGACGGAGGGAUGGAUGAGGUUACCUGGAAAAAUCGGGGCGAUCUAGGCGGGCGAACCUCGCCAACGAACGAUCGGACAUGGGAUAACGGAAGAGGGCGUCGGCUCGACUUCGUCGGUUCCUCGGGCCGAGGCACGUACGGUGAAUAGGGACGGUCGGGGCCGCCCGUACCGGGUCGUGAGAGGUGAAAUUCUAGGAUCGACCCGAGACGAACUGCCGCGAAAGCAUUCGGCAAGGACGCUUUCAUUAAUCAAGAACGAAAGUCGGGGGAUCGAAGACGAUCAGAUACCGUCGUAGUCCCGACCGUAAACGAUGCCGACCGAGGGCCCGGAGGAGUUACGUACGACCCUCCGGGCCCUCCCGCGAGAAAUCAGGAGUAUUCGGGUUCCGGGG
This 470-nucleotide ribosomal RNA is filed under the name uncultured eukaryote. Its description in RNAcentral is "bacterial SSU rRNA". It matches the Rfam family "Eukaryotic small subunit ribosomal RNA", at positions 727 to 1119 of the family's 1831-position model. The record is from RNAcentral.